UCAUCUCUUCGACACCAGCCCCUAAGAUUUCUCUAACAACCGCUCCUAUGUAUGCUUCUCCAAUUGCUUCUUUGCUGUCAACAGCUACUCCUCCAUCUUCACCCCUUGAAUCUUCUCCAACUUCCUCUCUUUCUACUUCUCUCAUGCUCUUGUUGGUUCUCCCAACGAUGGUUGGCUUCAUCUCUUUAACUGGAGCAAGUAGGCCUUGAAGCUAUUGGUUUAGCUAUGUCUCUCCUCCCUACUUUAACCUCCAUUUCAGUAAGUUUGUGUAUUGCAUUUCACUUUAGCAUAAUGUGAAAGUUCCCUCUCACAGAUUAAACAUUGAAGUUCCCUUUCAACGGUAUUUGAUGGAUGACCCACCAAUAUGAUUGCAGAGAUCAAUGCCAUGUUCAGCAGUG
RNAcentral lists this long non-coding RNA (398 nucleotides) under Gossypium raimondii (Peruvian cotton). Its description in RNAcentral is "long non-coding RNA (GRAI_LNC005248)". The record is from RNAcentral. Lineage: Eukaryota; Viridiplantae; Streptophyta; Magnoliopsida; Malvales; Malvaceae.